CUUAUUAGAGAAGAAAGAUAAUAUUUUUAGCUUAAGAAAAACAAUAUAAAAUAGACAUUUCAUAAAAGCAUAUUUAAAUGCACCUACAUUGUUAUUUUAUUCCUGUGUUCCAUAAUUGUUAAGUCUAGUUUCCCAGCGCAGAUGAUCUAUCAUAUAAAUUGACUUGGAAUAUAAUUGAUGUUCUCCUCAUAUCAGUAUACUUCAAUUUAUGUUUUAGCCAUUAAAAAUAUAUAUUCAGCAUUUCUGCGCUGAUUAAAUACUAUAAUAAAUCUGAUUUUACUGAAAAAGUCAAUGCAAAUUUAUUUUUUAAAAUUGUAAUAUAUUAGUUGUCUCUGAAAUUUUUUUUAUAAUCAUUUGAACAUUUGAAAAGCAGACAAAGCAAAAAUACAGACUAAGGAAAUAUCUGUAUUAUUCUUUGAGUAUUUUGGUAAACUGUUUCUGUGAACACUUUUAUAAAUAAACUCUUUACCCUUCCUGGGAGCCUUGCAAUUGUGACUGACAGUUUUCUUAGUGUGUCCGGAAUUGGUGGGUUCUUGGUCUCAGUCACUUCAAGAAUGAAGCCACAGACCCUCACGGUGAGUGUUACAGUUCUUAAAGGCAGCGUGUCUGGAGUUUGUUCUUUCUGACGUUCGGAUGUGUUCGGAGUUUCUUCCUUCUGCUGGGUUCGCGGUCUCACUGGCUAAGGAGUAAAGCUGCAGACCUUCACGACUUGGAGUCUUGCUUUGUUGCCUGAGCUGGUCUCGACCUCCUGGCCUCAAACAAUCCUCCUUCGUCCGCCUCCCAAAACACUGGAAUUACAGAUGCCAAAAAAGGGAGUUUCAACCAGACAAGAGUUUAGGAGAGUAUUUUGAUGGAAAGAAGAUAGCAACCAUAGGACUCGGUUGUAGACAUCCAGAAGAUGGUGCAAAACAGUAGCUGCAUUUCAGCAGAAGCCCAAUGGAUGUGGAAAACAAUGGCUUAACAGAGGUAACAGGCUGCCAUGAGCUUCAUAAAAACAAAUUCAUGACACUAAUUGACUUAUUUAAUAUGAGAAGAAUCAAGAUUUUCACACUCAAGUUGAGGACAUACUUAAAUUAGCCAACCAAAUAAAGGUAUGUAAUACAACAAUACCCUUUUUGGAAGCUAGGGAAGCAGUAUUUUUUACUGGUAGAGAUCAAAAAAUUUUCCCUAAGUGAGUGUUGUAUACUUUGUGAAUGUGUGAAUAUAUGAAUGAGUCAGAGGGCAAGUCUUUAGGAAUUUUCUUUGUAACUCUGAGUAAAACAGUAGUGUCAAUAUUCCCUUGGGUUAAUGUAAGCAGAUCUGCUAUUAAUACUAGGCAAAAAAAGGAAAUAAUUCUUGAACUUUCUCAUAUUUUAUAUAUUAUGGUAAAUUAUGCUGAAUGAAUUUUAAAAAUUAGUAAUUGUGAAAUGUAAAUUUAAUUUUCUUAAAAUAUAUCAGGACUAUACUAUAGUUUAAAAUUCAUGAAAAAUUAUAAGAAGUUUACAUUUAUUGACAAAAAUUAAAACUAUAGAACUCUUGAAUCACCAAACCUAAUUUCAUACUUCGGCGAUAAUUCUGUGUGAACAGUAUUUCCAAAGAGAUGAAUUAAUGUAUGUAGCCUAUUAAAGUUCCUUGUGAGAGUGAGAUAAUUCUAUAAAUACAUAAAGAAGUUUAUAAUUAAACAAAACAACUUUCAUUAUAUAUUGACACUGCAUGAUUAAUAACUGCUUUCUAAAUUUGUGAUGCUUACUAUAUAUACUUGUAUUACAUUUCAAAUAUUAACAUAAUUUUCUCAACAUAUAUUUAAACAUGUGUUUUCUAUAAGAUACAUGCUAGAUAGUGUAAGUCUCUACAUGAAGCCGAAACUGUAGAACCUUCUCCUUUUAGGGAAUUUAUACUACAAUUUUAGACUGCCUUCUGAUGUUAAUUUAAACUUAUUUCAAAUAGAAUACUUAAUUAGUAAAACAAAUCCAACUCUACAGCAUGUUUGGAUGAAAAAACAAUAAAGACUGCAUCCAGAGAAAAAACACCCAAUAUAGAAAACAACAAUUUUAUAUAUCUUUCUCUACUUAUAUUCUUACCAUUCUGUUUUAUAAUUCCAAGUUGGAUCUAUUUCUGUACUCAAAAACAGAAUAGUAUUUGCCACUCUUCAAAGACAGGAUGCUUUUUUAGAAAUUUGUGUCUUUUUUUCAUAUGGUUUUCUCUUUCCGUCUUCCACCUAUUAAACAUAGAUAGCAUUCAAUACCUUGGUUAAGUAUGAUAUUUUAUGUGAAGCUUUCUGUGACCAUAAAAGAUCAUUAAAUUUCUUCCUCCUUUGAAUUUUAUAUAUUUGCG
This 2313-nucleotide long non-coding RNA is filed under the name Homo sapiens (human). RNAcentral describes it as "HSALNT0205129". The record is from RNAcentral. Lineage: Eukaryota; Metazoa; Chordata; Mammalia; Primates; Hominidae.